This 250-nucleotide non-coding RNA is filed under the name Dethiosulfatarculus sandiegensis. The record is from RNAcentral. Lineage: Bacteria; Pseudomonadati; Thermodesulfobacteriota; Desulfarculia; Desulfarculales; Desulfarculaceae.
CUGCAUAUUUCAAUAGCCGGUGCCCUGUAGGGGCAGUAAAGGGAAGACGGUGAAAUUCCGUCGCGGUCCCGCCGCUGUAACCGGGAACGAAAACCGCAGCAAACAAGGCCUGAAGGCCUUGAUGACCAGACCAGGUUUGUAGCCAUCCUGGCCAAGCUGGUCGCCACUGCAAGCCCAUCGGGAAUGUGGGAAGGCGCGGUUAGUAGGAAGAUCCGGAAGCCAGAAUACCUGCCGGUAACAUUGACCUUUC